This 496-nucleotide ribosomal RNA is filed under the name uncultured bacterium. Its description in RNAcentral is "partial 16S ribosomal RNA". It matches the Rfam family "Bacterial small subunit ribosomal RNA", at positions 28 to 506 of the family's 1533-position model. The record is from RNAcentral.
GAUGAACGCUGGCGGCGUGCCUAAUACAUGCAAGUCGAGCGAACAGACGAGGAGCUUGCUCCUCUGACGUUAGCGGCGGACGGGUGAGUAACACGUGGAUAACCUACCUAUAAGACUGGGAUAACUUCGGGAAACCGGAGCUAAUACCGGAUAAUAUAUUGAACCGCAUGGUUCAAUAGUGAAAGACGGUUUUGCUGUCACUUAUAGAUGGAUCCGCGCCGCAUUAGCUAGUUGGUAAGGUAACGGCUUACCAAGGCAACGAUGCGUAGCCGACCUGAGAGGGUGAUCGGCCACACUGGAACUGAGACACGGUCCAGUCUCCUACGGGAGGCAGCAGUAGGGAAUCUUCCGCAGUGGGCGAAAGCCUGACGGAGCAACGCCGCGUGAGUGAUGAAGGUCUUCUGAUCGUAAAACUCUGUUAUUAGGGAAGAACAAAUGUGUAAGUAACUAUGCACGUCUUGACGGUACCUAAUCAGAAAGCCACGGCUAACUACGU